CCGGAGGAGGUGGCGUAGAAACCAUUGGAGGGGAUCUUCGACAGGAGAGUGGACAACACUCGGGCUAUGUUUGAGGAGGCAAGCCGGGUGGUGUUCCUAUCGGUGCUGCAGUAGUGUGCGAGGGAGUCUGUAGCCUCGCAUUGUGGGUGAGGAAUUAGGAAUAAGAGGAAGAGAAAGGAGAUGAGGGAAGACGCCGGCGAAGGCAUAGCUUGAUUGUAUACUCCGCACUGCUGUUG
RNAcentral lists this long non-coding RNA (236 nucleotides) under Spirodela polyrhiza (greater duckweed). Its description in RNAcentral is "long non-coding RNA (SPOL_LNC000881)". The record is from RNAcentral. Lineage: Eukaryota; Viridiplantae; Streptophyta; Magnoliopsida; Alismatales; Araceae.